This 493-nucleotide ribosomal RNA is filed under the name uncultured bacterium. RNAcentral describes it as "partial 16S ribosomal RNA". It matches the Rfam family "Bacterial small subunit ribosomal RNA", at positions 29 to 523 of the family's 1533-position model. The record is from RNAcentral.
AUUGAACGCUGGCGGCAUGCUUUACACAUGCAAGUCGAACGGUAACAGGUUAAGCUGACGAGUGGCGAACGGGUGAGUAAUGCAUCGGAACGUGCCCGGUCGUGGGGGAUAACGCAGCGAAAGCUGCGCUAAUACCGCAUACGAUCUGAGGAUGAAAGCGGGGGACCGUAAGGCCUCGCGCGAUCGGAACGGCCGAUGUCAGAUUAGGUAGGUGGUGGGGUAAAGGCUCACCAAGCCAACGAUCUGUAGCUGGUCUGAGAGGACGACCAGCCACACUGGGACUGAGACACGGCCCAGACUCCUACGGGAGGCAGCAGUGGGGAAUUUUGGACAAUGGGCGAAAGCCUGAUCCAGCAAUGCCGCGUGCAGGAAGAAGGCCUUCGGGUUGUAAACUGCUUUUGUACGGAGCGAAAAGGUCUCCUCUAAUACAGGGGGCUCAUGACGGUACCGUAAGAAUAAGCACCGGCUAACUACGUGCCAGCCGCCGCGGUAA